Molecule: ribosomal RNA, 492 nt
Filed under: uncultured bacterium
Lineage: Bacteria
Description: partial 16S ribosomal RNA
Rfam family: Bacterial small subunit ribosomal RNA
Source: RNAcentral
AGUGAACGCUGGCGGUAGGCCUAACACAUGCAAGUCGAACGGCGGCACAGUAAGAGCUUGCUCUUACGGGUGGCGAGUGGCGGACGGGUGAGGAAUACAUCGGAAUCUACUUUUUCGUGGGGGAUAACGUAGGGAAACUUACGCUAAUACCGCAUACGACCUACGGGUGAAAGCAGGGGAUCUUCGGACCUUGCGCGAUUGAAUGAGCCGAUGUCGGAUUAGCUAGUUGGCGGGGUAAAGGCCCACCAAGGCGACGAUCCGUAGCUGGUCUGAGAGGAUGAUCAGCCACACUGGAACUGAGACACGGUCCAGACUCCUACGGGAGGCAGUAGUGGGGAAUAUUGGACAAUGGGCGCAAGCCUGAUCCAGCCAUACCGCGUGGGUGAAGAAGGCCUUCGGGUUGUAAAGCCCUUUUGUUGGGAAAGAAAAGCAGCAGGUUAAUACCCCGCUGUUCUGACGGUACCCAAAGAAUAAGCACCGGCUAACUUCGUG